RNAcentral lists this long non-coding RNA (220 nucleotides) under Lathyrus oleraceus (garden pea). Its description in RNAcentral is "Pisum sativum (pea) long non-coding RNA (PSAT_LNC001646)". Lineage: Eukaryota; Viridiplantae; Streptophyta; Magnoliopsida; Fabales; Fabaceae. The record is from RNAcentral.
UUGAACUUAGGAUAAAUCACUUGAACUUUUCAAAGUUGAUUUGAAGUGAUUUUGAAGUUUGACCUUUCUUUAAUAUUUUAAUUCAAGUUUAUUUUAAAUAUUAAAAAGGCCCAAAAAUAUUUUGUUCAUUUUCUUGACUUCCAAUCUUCAUCUCACUUCUGUUUUUUUUAUUGUUUGACCAUGAUCCUCAAUGUCAUUGGUCAACACUUGUUGAUUGGUA